RNAcentral lists this transfer RNA (67 nucleotides) under Tridacna gigas (giant clam). RNAcentral's name for it is "tRNA-Asn". It matches the Rfam family "tRNA". From Rfam's summary of the family: Transfer RNA (tRNA) molecules are approximately 80 nucleotides in length. Their secondary structure includes four short double-helical elements and three loops (D, anti-codon, and T loops). Further hydrogen bonds mediate the characteristic L-shaped molecular structure. tRNAs have two regions of fundamental functional importance: the anti-codon, which is responsible for specific mRNA codon recognition, and the 3' end, to which the tRNAs corresponding amino acid is attached (by aminoacyl-tRNA synthetases). tRNAs cope with the degeneracy of the genetic code in two manners: having more than one tRNA (with a specific anti-codon) for a particular amino acid; and 'wobble' base-pairing, i.e. permitting non-standard base-pairing at the 3rd anti-codon position. The record is from RNAcentral. Lineage: Eukaryota; Metazoa; Mollusca; Bivalvia; Cardiida; Cardiidae.
UGGGCCUUAGCUUAAUGGAAAGCGUUUGGCUGUUAACCAUUUGAUGUAUGAAGUAUUACAGGCCUGU